Molecule: ribosomal RNA, 252 nt
Filed under: uncultured bacterium
Lineage: Bacteria
Description: partial 16S ribosomal RNA
Rfam family: Bacterial small subunit ribosomal RNA
Source: RNAcentral
UACGUAGGAUGCGAGCGUUAUCCGGAUUUAUUGGGUUUAAAGGGUGCGUAGGCGGGAUGCCAAGUCAGCGGUAAAAAUGCGGUGCUCAACGCCGUCGAGCCGUUGAAACUGGCGUUCUUGAGUGGGCGAGAAGUAUGCGGAAUGCGUGGUGUAGCGGUGAAAUGCAUAGAUAUCACGCGGAACUCCGAUUGCGAAGGCAGCAUACCGGCGCCCUACUGACGCUGAGGCACGAAAGCGUGGGUAUCGAACAGG